RNAcentral lists this ribosomal RNA (553 nucleotides) under Lactococcus lactis. RNAcentral describes it as "bacterial SSU rRNA". It matches the Rfam family "Bacterial small subunit ribosomal RNA", at positions 64 to 599 of the family's 1533-position model. Lineage: Bacteria; Bacillati; Bacillota; Bacilli; Lactobacillales; Streptococcaceae. The record is from RNAcentral.
GAGCGCUGAAGGUUGGUACUUGUACCGACUGGAUGAGCAGCGAACGGGUGAGUAACGCGUGGGGAAUCUGCCUUUGAGCGGGGGACAACAUUUGGAAACGAAUGCUAAUACCGCAUAAAAACUUUAAACACAAGUUUUAAGUUUGAAAGAUGCAAUUGCAUCACUCAAAGAUGAUCCCGCGUUGUAUUAGCUAGUUGGUGAGGUAAAGGCUCACCAAGGCGAUGAUACAUAGCCGACCUGAGAGGGUGAUCGGCCACAUUGGGACUGAGACACGGCCCAAACUCCUACGGGAGGCAGCAGUAGGGAAUCUUCGGCAAUGGACGAAAGUCUGACCGAGCAACGCCGCGUGAGUGAAGAAGGUUUUCGGAUCGUAAAACUCUGUUGGUAGAGAAGAACGUUGGUGAGAGUGGAAAGCUCAUCAAGUGACGGUAACUACCCAGAAAGGGACGGCUAACUACGUGCCAGCAGCCGCGGUAAUACGUAGGUCCCGAGCGUUGUCCGGAUUUAUUGGGCGUAAAGCGAGCGCAGGUGGUUUAUUAAGUCUGGUGUAAAA